AUGAGGUUGGCGCUCUUCUUCAACCGGCUCACCGGCACGAUCCCUCUGGAGAUCGGCAACAUGACGGCGUUGCAAGUCUUGGACCUCAACACCAACAGUUUGGAAGGUGAGCUGCCCGGUACCAUCACAUCGCUCAGGAAUCUCCAAUACCUCGCCCUGUUUGACAACUACUUCAAUGGCACCAUACCGCCGGACCUUGGGAAGGGGCUAAGCUUAACCGAUGUGAGUUUCGCGAACAACAGUUUCUCUGGUGAGCUGCCGCAGAGACUGUGUGAUGGCUUAGCGCUGCAGAACUUCACGGCAAACCACAACAACUUCAGUGGCAGUCUGCCAUCAUGCCUCAAGAAUUGCACAGGGCUGUUCCAGGUGCGGCUGGAAGGCAACCAAUUCACCGGCGACAUCUCUGAGGUGUUCGGCGUCCAUCCCAGCUUGGACUACUUGGAUGUAUCAGGGAAUCAGCUGACUGGGAAGUUGUCGUCUGACUGGUCACAGUGCCCCAAUCUUACACGCUUAGGCAUGAACGGUAAUCGAAUAUCUGGCAAUAUCCAUGCAACCUUCUGCCGAUUGACCUCUCUCCAGUCUCUGGAUCUAUCAAAUAACCAGUUCACCGGGGAGCUCCCAAGUUGUUGGUGGGAAUUCAAACUUAUGAUUGUUAUGGAUUUGUCCAACAACGGCUUUUCGGGUGAACUUCCUAUGUCAACAAGCUUGGCCCUUGAACUCCAGUCACUUCGUCUUGCUAACAAUAGCUUUCUUGGAGUUUUUCCAUCUAUAAUUGAAACCUGCAGAAAUCUCGUCAUCCUAGAUCUUGGGAACAACAAGUUCUUCGGUGAUAUCCCCUCUUGGGUUGGAAGGAGUGUUCCUCUUCUAACAGUUCUGAGCCUCCCAUCCAACAAUUUCAGUGGUGUUGUUCCACCCGAGUUAUCCAAACUUUCUUAUCUGCAAGUACUGGACCUGUCCAGCAACUCCUUCUCAGGUGAGAUCCUCACGGCCAUGCCAAACCACAAUUGCUCUCUCGAGUCGUUUCAUCUCGCCGGCAAUGGCUUCGUGGGCGUCUUCCCACCGUUCCUACGAGGCUGCAACUCCCUGGCCACCCUGGACAUCGGGAACAACCGGUUCUUUGGUGGUAUCCCCACAUGGAUCGGGAGUCAGCUUCCAUCACUGAAAAUCCUUAGACUCACAUCAAACAAUUUCACAGGAGAAAUCCCCACGGAGUUAUCAAGGCUUUCACAACUUCAGCUGCUUGAUUUGGCCAACAAUAGCUUGAUAGGAUCAAUUCCGGUUGCCUUUGGCAACUUGACCUCCAUGAGGCAUAAUGUUCCCCCAUUGGUCCGACCGAGGACAGUUUCCUUUCCAGCCAGAGUCAACAUAUCAUGGAAGGGCCAUGAGCAAACUUUUCAGAAAAGCAUCGGGUUAAUAACAGGUAUUGAUCUAUCAAGCAACCAACUUACAGAGAGCAUCCCUGAAGAGCUAACAUACCUCAAAGGUCUCCGGUUUCUGAACUUGUCCAGAAAUGAUCUAUCAGGCAGUAUUCCAGAAAAAAUCGGAAGGUUGGAGCUCCUGGAUUUCCUUGACCUCUCAUGCAAUGAACUCUCAGGCACUAUUCCUCCUAGCAUUUCAAAUCUGCGGUCCCUCGGUGUGCUAAACCUCUCUAACAACCACUUAUGGGGCCGCAUACCCACUGGAGAUCAGUUACAGACGCUCGUCGAUCCAUCGAUUUAUGGCAGUAAUCCAGGGCUCUGUGGCUUCCCGUUGUUGAACGUGUGUGAGCCUACAUUGGACCAGGGAGCUGAAGUCCGCAAAGAAAUCGGAGACCUGGGGCUAUGGUACUCUGUAAUUCUUGGCAUUGUUUUCGGUUUUUGGCUUUGGUUUGGAGCUCUGUUCUUCCUCGAGCCAUGGAGAUUUUCCUUUCUCUGUUUUGUUGAUGGCUUAGGUAGUAAGAUAGAUGCCAGGCUUUAUUAUGCUCAUAUGUGGUAA
Molecule: ribosomal RNA, 1974 nt
Filed under: Triticum aestivum (bread wheat)
Lineage: Eukaryota; Viridiplantae; Streptophyta; Magnoliopsida; Poales; Poaceae
Description: partial small subunit ribosomal RNA
Source: RNAcentral